GGGGGUAUAGCUCAGUGGUAGAGCAUAUGCUUAGCAUGUGCAAGGUCCUGGGUUCAAUUCCCAGUACUUCCA
Molecule: transfer RNA, 72 nt
Filed under: Camelus bactrianus (Bactrian camel)
Lineage: Eukaryota; Metazoa; Chordata; Mammalia; Artiodactyla; Camelidae
Also listed under: 3 other names
Rfam family: tRNA
About the family: Transfer RNA (tRNA) molecules are approximately 80 nucleotides in length.
Source: Rfam by way of RNAcentral